RNAcentral lists this ribosomal RNA (623 nucleotides) under uncultured Verrucomicrobiota bacterium. RNAcentral's name for it is "bacterial SSU rRNA". It matches the Rfam family "Bacterial small subunit ribosomal RNA", at positions 71 to 672 of the family's 1533-position model. Lineage: Bacteria; Pseudomonadati; Verrucomicrobiota. The record is from RNAcentral.
UCGGGGUAGCAAUAUUCCGGAGUCGGAGCGGCGCAAGGGUGCGUAACACGUGGGUAAUCUGCCAUGAAGUCUGGAAUAACUUGCUGAAAGGCGAGCUAAUACCGGAUGUGACCAUUGGGAGGCAUCUCCUGAUGUUUAAAGUUGGGGACCGUAAGGCCUGACGCUUCUUGAUGAACCCGCGGCCUAUCAGCUAGUUGGUGAGGUAACGGCCCACCAAGGCUAAGACGGGUAGCUGGUCUGAGAGGACGACCAGCCACACUGGAACUGAGACACGGUCCAGACACCUACGGGUGGCAGCAGUCGAGAAUUUUUCACAAUGGGCGCAAGCCUGAUGGAGCGACGCCGCGUGGGGGAUGAAUGGCUUCGGCCCGUAAACCCCUGUCAUUCGCGAUCAAACCUUGUUAUUUAAAAGAUGACGAGCUGAUAGUAGCGGAAGAGGAAGGGACGGCUAACUCUGUGCCAGCAGCCGCGGUAAUACAGAGGUCCCAAGCGUUGUUCGGAUUCACUGGGCGUAAAGGGUGCGUAGGUGGUGAGGUAAGUCGGAUGUGAAAUCUCGGAGCUCAACUCCGAAAUGGCAUUGGAAACUACCUUGCUCGAGGAAUGGAGGGGGACUGGAAUUCCGG